This is a long non-coding RNA of Cygnus atratus (black swan), 375 nucleotides long. RefSeq lists it as uncharacterized. Lineage: Eukaryota; Metazoa; Chordata; Aves; Anseriformes; Anatidae. The record is from RefSeq and is a predicted model, not a curated record. The transcript is spliced from 3 exons.
AUAAACAGAGGCAGGAAAAAAAAACAACUUUCAUCUGUAGCCCACACUUGCCUACUUAACACUGACUAAACAAACGUCCUAAAUAAGGUGCACUCUGCAAAAUGUCCGGGGAGAGCAAGAUCUUCUCUGAGCUGAGACAACCCUGCAAGCUCCAGAGUGAUUCAGUUCCCACUGAGACCCCUUAUUCGUGGGUGUCUUGGCAUGAGAAGGAGCUGUGCCAUGGACUGCCAGCCCCAUUGGGAUAUCUCACACGUGGCAGGACAAUCAAGGCAAACAUUUGGAGAGAAUCUUCUAAUUCAGUGCGUUGAUCAGAGCAGAACUACAUAUUUAUAUACUAGUUAUGACUAUUUAUCAUCAGAAAAAAAAAAUAUCAAU